RNAcentral lists this ribosomal RNA (492 nucleotides) under uncultured bacterium. RNAcentral describes it as "partial 16S ribosomal RNA". It matches the Rfam family "Bacterial small subunit ribosomal RNA", at positions 29 to 507 of the family's 1533-position model. The record is from RNAcentral.
AGUGAACGCUGGCGGUAGGCCUAACACAUGCAAGUCGAACGGCAGCACAGUAAGAGCUUGCUCUUACGGGUGGCGAGUGGCGGACGGGUGGGGAAUACAUCGGAAUCUACUUUUUCGUGGGGGAUAACGUAGGGAAACUUACGCUAAUACCGCAUACGACCUACGGGUGAAAGCAGGGGAUCUUCGGACCUUGCGCGAUUGAAUGAGCCGAUGUCGGAUUAGCUAGUUGGCGGGGUAAAGGCCCACCAAGGCGACGAUCCGUAGCUGGUCUGAGAGGAUGAUCAGCCACACUGGAACUGAGACACGGUCCAGACUCCUACGGGAGGCAGCAGUGGGGAAUAUUGGACAGUAGGCGCAAGCCUGAUCCAGCCAUACCGCGUGGGUGGAGGAGGCCUUCGGGUUGUAAAGCCCUUUUGUUGGGAAAGAAAAGCAGCAGGUUAAUACCCCGCUGUUCUGACGGUACCCAAAGAAUAAGCACCGGCUAACUUCGUG